This 422-nucleotide ribosomal RNA is filed under the name uncultured bacterium. Its description in RNAcentral is "partial 16S ribosomal RNA". It matches the Rfam family "Bacterial small subunit ribosomal RNA", at positions 362 to 776 of the family's 1533-position model. The record is from RNAcentral.
UAUUGGACAAUGGGCGAAAGCCUGAUCCAGCCAUGCCGCGUGUGUGAAGACGGGCUUCGGAUGGUNAAGCACUGUAAGUUGGGAGGNAGGGGUUGAAGCUAAUACCUUCAAUCUUUGACGUUACCAACAGAAUAAGCACCGGCUAACCCUGUGCCAGCAGCCGAGGUAAUACAGGGGGUGCAAGCGUUAAUCGGAAUUACUGGGCGUAAAGCGCGCGUAGGUGGUUCAGUAAGAUGGCAGUGAACUCCCCGGGCUUAACCUGGGACCUGCUUUCAUAACUGCUGAGCUAGAGUACGGUAGAGGGUAGUGCAAUUUCCUGUGUAGCGGUGAAAUGCGUAGAUAUCGGAAGGAACACCAGUGGCGAAGGCGACCACCUGGGCUAAUACUGACACUGAGGUGCGAAAGCGUGGGGAGCAGACAGG